This 881-nucleotide unclassified non-coding RNA is filed under the name Leishmania donovani. RNAcentral's name for it is "gene:unknown". The record is from RNAcentral. Lineage: Eukaryota; Euglenozoa; Kinetoplastea; Trypanosomatida; Trypanosomatidae.
CGUCGUGACACACACGCACACACACGUGUCCACAGACAGAGCCAGGUAGACGCGGAUGCGCAUGCGCAUGCAUCUCCUCGCUCUUGCACGGUGUUCCUCUUGCACUACGGCAGCGCCACCGGACCGGCGCUGAUCAUGAUGCUGCUCAUCAGCUGUAUCGCACGCACGCUCUCUGUCUGUCUCUCUGCGCCCGUGCAUGUGAUGUGCGCUCCGUCGAUGGCGAAGAGAAGGCGAAGAGCGAACAUAGCGUGCCAAGCGCUCGCGAGCAGCAGCAGUAGCAGCAAGCAGCGAGGCCUUGGAAACGAAGAGAAAGAUGGCGCAGCUGCAAGGAGUGCGCGCGCGGCCUCAUGAUCUGUAGGAAGAGGCAACAGAGAGCGGAGGAGAGCAUGGCCAUGCGCACAUGUAUAGUUGCGCCAUUUUAUUUCCACAUAAAACAGAGACAGCACUCUUGCCGUCAUGCUGCGCGCAUCUGCGUGUGCGCGUCGCUCUCCUUCCUAUGACGCGGCACCGACCUUGAGUAAACGCACUGCACGGAUGCGUCACCACCACCACCUUAGCGGGCGAUCGGAACCCCUCCCUUUCCAUUCCUUCAGUGACAGCAGUUGCGUUGAAGUUCGGCCCUGCUAUCCUCCUCCUCCUCCUAUGUAUGUGUCUUCAGCUGCCUCUUAGCCUGUGCUGCACGUCACGACGACGACGACGAUGGCAUUGCACAACACUUCAUUGCCCUUCCGCCCCCGCUGUUGCUGCUGCCACCCUCUCCCUUCUCCCCCUCUCUCGCUCGGUCUGUAUGUCUUGCCCAACCUCUGCCGCAAAACCUCCCCCUGCCCCCCAACACACACAAACACACACACACACACGCAUGCGUGAUCCUCGGCAACAAG